This is a long non-coding RNA of Etheostoma spectabile (orangethroat darter), 77 nucleotides long. RefSeq lists it as uncharacterized. Lineage: Eukaryota; Metazoa; Chordata; Actinopteri; Perciformes; Percidae. The transcript is spliced from 3 exons. The record is from RefSeq and is a predicted model, not a curated record.
UUUAUCUGAAAACCUUUGAUACAUUUGAGAACGUCAUCUUGGGCUUUUUGGGAAAGACUGAUCCACAUCUUUCACCA